RNAcentral lists this ribosomal RNA (349 nucleotides) under uncultured bacterium. RNAcentral describes it as "partial 16S ribosomal RNA". It matches the Rfam family "Bacterial small subunit ribosomal RNA", at positions 338 to 679 of the family's 1533-position model. The record is from RNAcentral.
CCUACGGGUGGCAGCAGUAGGGAAUCUUCCAGAAUGGGCGAAAGCCGGAUGGAGCAACGCCGCGUGGGUGAAGAAGGUCUUCGGAUCGUAAAACCCGGUUGUUAGAGAAGAAAGUGCGGGAGAGUAACUGUUCACGUGUCGACGGUAUCUAACCAGAAAGCAACGGCUAACUACGUGCCAGCAGCCGCGGUAAUACGUAGGGGGCAAGCGUUAGCCGGAUUUAUUGGGCGUAAAGGGAACGCAGGCGGUCUUUUAAGUCGGAUGUGAAAGCCUUCGGCUUAACCGGAGUAGUGCCUUGGAAACUGGGAGCCUUGAGUGCAGCCGAGGCGAGUGGAACUCCAUGUGUAGC